Molecule: long non-coding RNA, 573 nt
Filed under: Homo sapiens (human)
Lineage: Eukaryota; Metazoa; Chordata; Mammalia; Primates; Hominidae
Description: non-protein coding lnc-RBMY1J-6:1
Source: RNAcentral
CAUUCCGUUGCACUCCCGUUUGACUCUGGGUAUGAAAGCCAUCAAAUCAGGAGUUAGCCAGGAUGGACCCAAUUUGCACACCAAAUGUUUUUGGCGUGUUGGAGUACUCCCACCUCAACAUCGGGCCAUUGUAUGGACUGCUUGUGCAAUUAAAGGAAUGUGCGAAUGGUGUUGGAAGCACCUUCUGUGUCAUCUGUCUUUCUCAGUGUUGCAGGUGAAGUUGUAGGACCCAAUCCAUCUCUCACCAGAUUGUAUCCUCACCCCAUCUGACUGUAUUGCUUCUUACACUGUAUGUCCCAGGAUGAAAUCCUAAGAUGAUGGAGGAGGGUCCCCUCAUGAUGUAAAGUACCUGCUCAGAUAGGAAUCUAAUUUGAGGUAAAUUCCAGGGGUCCAGUGGACAGGAUUGCUAGUGUCUCUCUCUGAGAUGGCUGCAGGACAAUAAAAUACAGGAAGAUGUCUGUUUUUUGGUGGGGUGUGUUCCUCUUCUUUCUAGAAGAGUGGCUUUUCUUUUGCAGGGGGAGUUGAUUUGGAUGCCGGCAGGUCUUGGCAUGCCUCCCAAUUCACAGUGGAUUC